RNAcentral lists this non-coding RNA (80 nucleotides) under Methylobrevis pamukkalensis. Lineage: Bacteria; Pseudomonadati; Pseudomonadota; Alphaproteobacteria; Hyphomicrobiales; Pleomorphomonadaceae. The record is from RNAcentral.
UUUCCCCACCGUGGUCAUUUGAGCCGGCCGGCUUGCCGCCACGUAAAACAACGGGCUAAAAUGGUCGGGUGGAUGCGGGA